CGAACGGGUGAGUAACACGUGAGUAAUCUGCCCUUGGCUUCGGGAUAGCCACCGGAAACGGUGAUUAAUACCGGAUAUGACCACUUCAGGCAUCUGGUGGUGGUGGAAAGUUUUUUCGGCCAGGGAUGUGCUCGCGGCCUAUCAGCUUGAUGGUGAGGUAAUGGCUCACCAUGGCUUCGACGGGUAGCCGGCCUGAGAGGGUGACCGGUCACACUGGGACUGAGACACGGCCCAGACUCCUACGGGAGGCAGCAGCG
This 257-nucleotide ribosomal RNA is filed under the name uncultured Nocardioides sp. RNAcentral's name for it is "partial 16S ribosomal RNA". It matches the Rfam family "Bacterial small subunit ribosomal RNA", at positions 99 to 356 of the family's 1533-position model. The record is from RNAcentral. Lineage: Bacteria; Bacillati; Actinomycetota; Actinomycetes; Propionibacteriales; Nocardioidaceae.